Molecule: long non-coding RNA, 11107 nt
Organism: Mus musculus (house mouse)
Lineage: Eukaryota; Metazoa; Chordata; Mammalia; Rodentia; Muridae
Product: predicted gene 16116
Exons: 2
Source: RefSeq, a predicted model, not a curated record
GCUCUGGAGGCUGAAGCAGGGGAAUUGCUGUGAGUUCAAGUAAGCAGGGGAUGCAGAGUAAGACACUGUUUCAAGAAGCAAAGGAAAACCCUUGAAGAGGAGAAACGUUGACAACCCCAGCAGAGAAGUCUGGGACAUCAAGUCUCACUCAAACAUGUGGAGACAUGUUUGAUUUUAUUUAAAGAACUCCCAGCCAGUCCACAUAGUUUUUAAAAUUGCAUGUUUUUCUCUCACUUUCUCUCUCUUUCUUUCUCUCUAUUCUUUUUCUUUCUUCUUUCUUUCUUCCUUUCUUUCUUUUCUUCUUCCUCCUUCUCCUCCUCCCUCCUCUUCCUCCUUCUCCUUUUUGAAUGGAUGCCAAAGUCAGAUGGCCACAUCCUGUCCUAUUGCAUUAUAAAGGAUCAAUCCUUGUUCUCACUCAGGAGAAAACUCAGAGCAUGACCCCCAUGUGGAAGUGAUGGAGUUCAGGAACCUGGUAGUGAAAUGGACCAGUGAUAUACGUGGCCGUCCUAGUUUCAAACAUAAUAAAAAUAAAUAAAUAAGUAAAUAAGAACAGAAGCGCUCAUGAAAGUAACAUACUUUAGGGCAGCCAACUGCAGGUAAAUUUGGCUUUCCUUUGAUAGCUACCGAAUAAUAACAGGAUGGUUUCAUUGGUGGCAUUUUUCCCUGGUCUAUUUUUAUUUUUUAUUAUCUUCUGUUGUUUGCUUUUAGUUUUAAAAGUCCUUGCAAAUACGCAACUUAUAAAUCAUGCCGGAAAUGCGUGUAUUAUUUCAUUUGGGGGAAGAAUCAAGUUCUAGAAGGCAAUGCUCACAUUUCACUUAAUUACCAAACAAAGACAUAAUGGACUAUUUUUCUGUAUUCACGAGAGACAGAAGGACUGUCAGUUUGAUUGCCUGUUAAGGUUUCGGUGAAUCACAAUGUUAUUACGCUUUUAAAUCAGAGGAUCGGUUCCUUCCGCUAAGUCUAACAAUACUAGAAAGUGAGAAGGAGGGGGGAAAACACCUCAUCUGGGGCCGUAAUAUUUGCUGAAAAAAAUCCACUUCAAAACAUUAAUCAAAUUUUUCGCCUACUGGGCAACCAUAUGGCAGAGCAGCAUGCGAAUCUCACAAACUUGCUGAUCUCCUGUAACCGGGUGCAAUUAAUUACGCUGGCUGCAUCCAUCUCUUGGAUUUUCGCCUUGUGAAAAAAAAAAAGUAUUUAUUGUAACAGCUUUUACAAAACAAGGGAAUGAAAAUCUCAAUUGAUUAAUGAGAGGAAUGGAAAUAUUUCCGUUAGCAGAUUUAAAAAAAAAAAAGGAUUAAUGCUGUGGAUGGAAAGGCGCCCACCUCAAGCUCACCGUGAGGUGGGUUUGUGUUUUUAUUUUGGACCCCCCAAAAGGUAGAGGAAGAGUGGGCUGAGAAGAUACCCGGAGCUCUGAAAUGCAUAAUUCACUAGCAGGCUUUGGAUCGCAAGUAAUAAAGGCUUAAACUGGGGAAGUAAUAAAGAGAUUGGCUUUACAAGACACUAUCCUGGGAGACAGAAAAGCUUCUUUGAUUUGAAAACACUGAUCUUAAAGGACUCAGUGGGGUGAGGAACAGGACAGCCCUGACAAAGCAGGCAAUGGAGGGAGCUCUUAAAGUAAGCAGGACACCCCGUCCUCAGCUAGUUACGCCUGGAGACUGCUGCACAUCUGGGCAGAUUACGGUUUUAGGGCUGCCCCAUCAAAACAGGUGUCCUGGAGUGUGUUAGGACUGUCCUCACCUACUAACGCAAGGUGCGGACACAGCGUGAAUGUGACCCUUUCCCCGUGGUAUUUAGACUGUGAACUGGGGCAGUCAGAUCCACUUCAAAGAGUGACCGUUAAUAUGUCACUGAGGUAACAGUCCUUCCCUCGUGGAGGACUGAUGGGCCCCGGGCUGGGGUCUGUAGGCCAGCAGGAGCAGUGGUCCUUUGUCUCUCUCCAAACCUGUCCCCUUUCUGUGGAACCCCCAGCCGGGGUGGACAGUUGUGACCUUGUCUUCCCAGCAUUCUUCACUCAGGAGGGUUAAUUCCACACUCUUUAAAGAGUUAGCCCAGGAGGCUGGGUUUAAAAUUCCAAUAAACACCACCUUGAGAAAAUAAGCAGAAUACUAACUUCAACAGAAUUAUACGUGUUUGUAAGACUGAGGACUGGAUCGCAUUUGCAACCAAUGAAGGAAAAAAAACAUAUUAGAGCAAAGCUUAGUAACUCAAGUUACAGGCUGACUUUUCUCUACAGUGACUCCCACAUUUAAACGUGUGCCAGGAAACCAUGUGGAGGGCCUUGUCUUUUGUUUUACUACAAAUGUGAGUGUCUGGUCCAGUGCACGCGAGAACACUUGUGUACUCACUCGUGUGUGGGGAGAGGUAAGGGACAAUGUCCUGCGUCAUCCUCAGGAAUCCAUCUGCCUCUGUUAAUAUAGGAUUUCUCACUGGCCAGGAGCUCACUAGUGAGGCUAGACUUGCCUGAGUGGGGAGCCCAAGGGAUUUUUCCAUUUCCAGCUCUCCAGCUCUGGAAUUACAAACGCAUGCCAUCUCUCCCCCAGAACUUUUUAUGUGAGUUCUGGGAUCGAACUCACGUCUUAACGCUUGUACGGCAAACAUUUUUACCUUCUGAUGUCUCCCUCCAGCACCUGCAAAUGACUUUUGAUAAGACUUCAUUAUUAUUUUAUUAAUGGGUACAUAGUAUACAUGUGGCAAAUAUGAGGAUUCAUGUUUUGUUUUCUUUUGGUUUUAGUGUUUUUUGUGUUGGUUGGUGGUUGUUUGUUUGAGAGAUGAAAUCUUGAAUCACCUAAACUCUCUGGGUGUCUAAGCGAGCAGUAUCUAAAAAAAAAAAAAAAAAAUCACAGUAUUUCAUUCGAGCAACCCAUCCUGUACAGGAUGUAUGUUUAUGUUAACACUCAUGUUUGAAAAUACUGCCAUAGAGGAAAAAGAAUAAUGGUGAACUUUAAGGUAGCAGACGUAUCCAAGCGGCUAAGAGACAUAAAAGCCACAAUGGGUGGCUCCCAAACGCUCCCUGAGCUAGGGGAAUGGCACACUGGUUAGCCUGCCUGCUGCACCAGCAUGGGGACCUGAGCCUGUAGCCAGCAUGAAGGCUGUGGGAGGUGGCACAGAUCUGCAAUCCCAGUGCGGAGAGUGGAGAAGGAUGAAACAGGGGCAUCCCUGGAGCCUGAUGCCCAGCUGGUCUAGCCAAAGAGAUGAGUUCUGGGUCAUGAAAGUCCCGGUUAGUUCAUAGGUAGGUAGGUAAGCAGGCAGGCAGGCAGACAGACAGACAGGCAGACAGGCAGGCAGACAGACAGGCAGACAGAAUGAAAAGUAGGGUGGAGAAAGAUUAAGAAAGACACUUGAUGUCAACCUGUAGCUUCUAUAUGUAUAGCCCCACACGAGCACAUUCAAUUGAACAUGUACACAACACACACGUGCAUGCACACAUGCACACAAAAUAAUAAUAAAGUGAAAAUCUUACUACAAUCCUUUAACAAUGAGAGUCUCUUUACAAUCAAAGAAGAUGCUGUUCUAAAGAAAGCACCGACCAUGGAAGCACGCAAGAAAGUUACCCUGAAAAAAGUCCUUGAUGUCCCAAAGCAAAGAAUAAAUAAUCAAAGGGAAGCAGGCCGGCUGAUUCCGUGAACCGGUGACCCCCGAUUGCACACCUCCACGCACACAGCACCCCUCGGAUGAUCCCCAGGCUCCUCCUACACACAAGGGUUAUUGGCUUAAAAGUUUAAAGAGCUAACAAAAUGUUUUAACGAGAUACAAAUCUCAGAGAUCAUUAAUCAAUAUGCUCAAUGUUAUUUGCGAUAAUUCAUCAUGACGUGAUAUUAAUGGGUUACUGUACCCUUCAGAGGUGAGAUUAAUGCAAAUGAGCCGCCACAAUUAACUUUACUGCUCCCAACUCCCAGGAAUGGACAGAUGAUUAUAAAUGACAACUAUAUGUCAAUUACAAUAUCCAAUAAAGUGAGGCUUGGAGAACAAUCUAUCUCCGUUUAUUGCACUUCCUUGACGUGGCUGCAUUCAGCACAGCCCACUGUUGUCUCUGUGUAACCAUUGUUUGGGGAGGGCAAGGGGCUUUCCUUUUUCACUCUUUCAGUAUCGUACGAAAAGUGCUUCUGAAAUGUCCAGGUAACUGCAUUUUUCUAGAGGAGGAGCGCCACGGGAAACCAGGAACAAAUGCCUUCACCGCCGAGUGUGUUUUAAAGAAGAUGGUGUCCAUCUUGAAACCAUAGCAGCCAGGCCAGCACGGAAACCACCUACCCAGCUGUGUAUAAUAUAUUUACUCAAUUACAACGGGAAGAUGUUAGCCCAGCAUCCUGAAUAGCCUUGCGUUUCACUAAACAAAACUUAACUUGAGGAUCACCACGGGAGGAAACAGGUCAGACUGCAGAAAGUGAGCCUGAGAAGAUUUCAGCGGGAAGAGCCUGAUGUCAGCUUGCACACCUGUGCUGGGGUCAAAGAAGGGGGAUCCUGUAGAAUGCAUGGGUGCAAGACCUGACUUCAGAGCAUUUCAUGAAUGCUCUGUUCCUCUCUGCAUGGAGGACUUGUUUGAGAGGAGCUUCUGGAUGAAGGUGAGCACUCUGUAGUACUGCCAUCUGAAGGUGAGCACUCUGCUGUAGUACCGCCUUCUUGCCCCAGACCCUUUCUCUGAGCAGAGCUACCCAGCCCAGGAGACACCAGCUAUUGAUGAAUUAUGAUCACAUGCUUCUAAUCUGCCACCUCCCCCUAUUCCCCAGGGACUUCUCCCACAUAGCCCGCCUUCCCUGGCAGAUGUUCUCCAAUCACGGACUGCCGUCAGUUAAAGCCUUGUCUCAGGCAGGGCCAAUUUGGGUAGCAUCACUUGGCCCUCCAGGAGCUCCUGUUGGGGUCAGACUGAAGCCAACCUUCAGUGGAAGCCACAUUCUUGUCGGGAAUUCUGCUCUGUGGCCUCUGUCUUCCUUCCCCUUAGGAAGGCAAGUCCACCCAGAACACAGGGGAGCAGCGUGGAGCUCUGCUUCUAGGGACAGACCUGAGAACAGGUAUCGGAAGCAUGUGAGCAGGAAGGCUCUCCCUGUAGUGUCGCUUAGAAAGUGGCCCUUUCUUUGCGGAUCACUGGUGAGACCAAUUCAUCAAGCAGUUGACAAUCACACCGGGAUUUCUUUCUAGCCCCAGAAACAUCUCGAAAGACCCAGAGCAUGGGGUGAGCUACCGGGAGAACACUGUGGAUGGGGGAAGCCAUGGGUUUGCCUGUCCAAGAUCUUUCCUGAGGUGCUUAGUCCGGUGAUGUGAGCAAAGAUGAUGCUGUCCCAGUAGGGAACGGAGACUCCUAGCAUCAUGUACAAAGAGGGCGUUAACACCAGCCUACAUAUGGAACACUAUUACCUGGGUCACUGCUGGUGAUUCACGGGAGGUCUCUGCCCAAUAAAAAGGCCAAGCGUGGUUCUCCCUGAGCUGUUUGUACCAGGAACCAUGGGGAAAAGAGCUCACUGUGACAAGGGCUGCUGUCUUAGUCACCUCUCAUUACUGGGACAAAUAACAAAGCAAACACUGCAAGCCAGAGAGGAUUUAUUUUGGCUCACGGUUUCAGAGGUCUUUGUCCACGGCUGGGUGGUUCUAUUGAUUAUGAACCUAUGGAUGGUGUGGCAUGGAGGCAGCGAUAGGGCCAAGUAGCUCAUUUCAUGGUGGAACAACCAGAGGGGAAACAAAACACUGGAGGGGGCCAGCCAUCAGACAGAACCUUAAAUAGUAUGCCAGCACAGCCUACUCUCACCAAGCGGCCCUCACAUCCUGACGAUCUAAUGUAGCAAGGAAUCCACCAGUAGAUUAAAACAUUGAUGAGGGUAGCAUUUCAUGGUCCAGUCAUCUCUCAAUAGCACAGGGGGACCAGGCAGCAUAUGACUUUCAGGCAAACAUUAGCAGUUGCUAAGCUCGGAAAGGUCUGACGUCAGUAGCCAUCCUGGUUUCCACUAAAAGAGCAUUCUUUGGGGCACGUACCUGCAAUCCCAACUAUUCGGGAGGCUGUGGCAUGAGUUCAAGGCCAACCUGAGGAACUGAGUGAGACCCUGAAUCAAAAUGAGUAACUAAGGCCUGGAGAUGUAGCUCAAAGGUGAGAAUACUUGCUUAGCAUCUGUGAAGCUCUGGGUUCAAUCUACAGAUAAGAGAGAGGGGCUGACACAGUACUGGGGCUGGACAACACCUCAGCCAACCCUGAAACACUGCAACCUACCCGUUCCUGUGCAGACCAGGAGUGAAAACAAUUGUUUUUAACAGUUGAGAGAGAAAGAAAGGAGAUACAAAAGAAGUUGCAAGAAAUUCAAAUGCCAGCAUCUGCAAAUAAAGUCCCCCCCACCCCCCACCCCCGUGCAUGGCCAUACUGGAUCAUUUACCUACUGAUAAGGCUGUUCGUGCAGUGUUGAAGUCAAAAGGAAGGAAGGAGUUGCCACAGCAUCCGCAUGGCUCAGAGCCAACUGCUUCCAUGAUCUGUCUCAUUCUUACAUCCCACAAUGCAUGUUGGGCAAUAACAGCAACCCUGCUGACUUACAUCAUUUGAACUUGGACCUUCCGUGUACAAGAACAAAAGCCACUUUCCUUCCCACCUCCACACCCACAGUGGAUCAGGACCCCACAGGUAAGAAUGCAGUGUCCAGAUGGACUGAUGGAUGGCUUCUCUCGCUGGCUCCUGUGAAGCUAUUGCGUUCUUUGCUGAAUGUCAUGAGAAGGACUUGGUUCAUCUUGGCUGACCACUUGCUAUGGCUCGACCAAACUGAGGAAACGUGGCAAGGCCCCACGGAUGUCGCCAAACCCACAGGCUGUCCCUGCCAGGGAGCAGCGCCUGUCUUUGCAGAGAGCUGCUUGCAGCAUAUGCUUCCUUCUGCCUGAGCUCACACAGAAGCAGAUUGCGCCAGAUCCCUGCUGGCUCUUCUCCCCGCAGCCUGGAUUUACAAGAUGGUGCAUUAAUAGGCCCCGUGUUUGUCCCAGGCAAGGAGUUCUGUGGUGUCCAUAGGAGCUUUGAAUUAAGGACUCCGGGGUUUUCAGGGAAUGGAUCAGAGGGAUGAAAACAUGGGCAGAUAAAGCCAGAACUUGACCCAGAAGAGUGUCAGAAGAGGCUGGCAGGAAAGAAGAGACCUUCAGGAGCUCUCUUAAGUAGUCUCUCAGAAAACUAGAAAAUCAAAAUUAAGAAAGGAUGAGAUUGGAGCACUUGUCUCAACACAAUCUCUGCCAUCUUAAAAAAAAAAAAAAAAGACCCAUUUCUUUAAAAUUACAACCCCACAAGAGCCUAUGAAGAUUUAAACUUGUUUUACUGAACCCAGAGAAGCUGCCUCUCUGUCCUCUGUUAGGAGACUGCAUCCAGAGCUUCACCCUGCCUGCUGACCACACCAGAUUUAACAAGGUUCGCAAAUGAACUAGAGUAAGUUUCCCACAGUGACACAUUAAUAAUAAGUUCCUUAUCCCAUCUAUCCCAAGCCAUGAAUAUGUAAUGUUAGAAAAUGAGUCCUUUUUCACACACAACAGAACCUCAGACGUGAAUAAAUAAAAACUAUCCAUCACGAGUCUGUGAAAAAUUAAUGAGCGUUCAGAGACGCGAGGAAAAAUGGGGACUGAGGAGAGAUGGCCCAAUUCGUAAAAGCAUCGCUUAACUUUCAGAUGGUAAAUAUCCUCGCCCCCGCCCCUUGCCCGGCUGCCAGGUGGGGGUGGGAAAUGGCAGGCUGUCUUCCCAAUGUGCUGAGAUCCACUGCCCCUCUUAAAGUGGCAGCUCUGACAGGGCUACAGAGAGAUCCCUACUUCAAGGGCUUAAACUCCGAGAGUUAAUGUGGCGCCAACCUGGACAGGAGAGCAGGGGCUGAUUUACUUAAUUAUUUAGAAUUCAUAACUAGCUGAGGAUGUGCUCAGCCAGGCUGAGGAAACUGGGAGGAGUGAGAUGACUUUGAAGAUGAAACUUUAGAAAGGUGGGAACUCCUGCUCUUGGCCUCUUCUCCUUCACAGUGGCCACAGGGCACAAGGCAGGAUUACCCAUGAGCCUUCUGCUAUGAUUAGUAACAUGAUCAAUACCACUUGCUGGGUGCCAUCUCUCUUCCCAAGUGUGCUGAGUGCUUUGUCCAAGUGAAUGCCAAUUCUCUUGCCCAUUCCGUUCCAUUGGACACUGAGGUGGAGCGGGGAUAACAGAGACAUCCCCAAGUCUAAGAACCAGAAGACGAUGGCUAACUAACCCGGAGGGAGCCCUCUACCUGUACCAUCUGUGGCUGCAUGGGUCAAAGAGGAUUCAGAUUCAGCUGGGAGUGGGUCAGGGGAAAAACUAUAAGGACAGGUAGGUGUGGGUGGACCUGUGGUUGACACUGUAAGGAAAUCAGGAGCUGCUACUAGGAAGGGGGUGUGGUGUGUGGUGAUAUGAUAAGAAUGUCAGAUUUGGGUGGGCAAGGAUCUGAAUCUGAAAUGUUUUCGAUAUGAAGGAGUAGAAGAAGAGGAAGAAGAGGAGGAAGAGGAAGAAGAGGAAGAAGAAGAAGAAGAGGAGGAAGAAGAAGAGGAGGAAGAGGAGGAAGAAGAGGAGGAAGAGGAGGAAGAAGAGGAGGAGGAAGAAGAGGAAGAAGAGGAGGAAGAAGAAGAGGAGGAGGAGGAAGAGGAGGAGGAGGAGGAGUAUGAUGCAAAACAUGAAGGGUUGCUCCAGCAUAACUCCAGGAUACACUGAGCCAGGGUUUAGGUCUUAUACCAUUAUACUGCUUGGCCACUUUAUGCUAGAGUCUCCUAAGAGCAAAAGGACAGUCUGAGAGACCCUUUUGUGGUACCUGCCUCCAGGAGGUCAUGUCACAGGGCUAGUUGAACUAGGCUGAUUCACACAGUGACUUGGUACCGAUACAUACAACCAGGGCGUUAACAAAGAUGAAGACGAGUGAAGGGGAAGAGGGGGAGGCCCUGGUACCUGAUGGGAGCGGCAUUUCAUCCCACGCAGGGCAGGGACUAAGAGUGCUCCCUUGAACCUGAAUGGGCUGCCUGUGCUUUACUGGGCAAGAAGGGAGAUAGGGGUGCGUGCGUUUGUGUUUUCUCAGGGGGAACCCCAAGGUGAUGCAGAGUCCAAAGUGGAAAGUGUGAGACCAGUUCAGGCAACAGAAGCAGUCAAUAGUGAGAAAGGAGGGAUAAGAAAAUAAUCCACUCUUGGUGUCUAAGACAUGUGGACACCAACGUAGUCCUCUGCCCAGGCCACACUGAUCACAGCACCAUGCCCAGUCCCUCUGCCGGGGAGAUCCACUCUUGAAGAAGUCAUAUAUGACAGCCUGACAUGGGAAAGGGAGAGGACAGAUACUGACUAGGCACAGGCAGUUAAAACUCUUAACUUUUUAGUGUGGGCUGCUUAAAACUCUGCUCACACUUUUGCAUAAAUUAUUAUGUAUGGAAAGAGUUGAGCAAACCAAAGGCAAUGAGAGCUGACCUGUAAACCCAGCACUCUGGAUGCAAAGGCCAGAUGCCAGCCCGGGGCCACACCAAAUGUAUCAAAAAUAUGAGGGGAUGGGGGCGGGAUGUAGCAAAUUCUGACCUUAAAGAGUUACAAAUAUGUAACAUGUUUACUCCACAGGAACCAGUUUGUUUCCUUUUGCAUUCCAGACCCAAUGUGCACAGUCCUACGCUAUCCAGUCCAUAUUUGACUGCCAAACUGGACGACCACUUGGAAGGAUGGAUCUUCCACACCAUCUUGACUUGGGUAUGGCUACAUCCAACAUAGUGCUUUCCUACCACCUUCUUGUCUGCUAACCCUACCACAUCCACCAUCGAGGAUGGAUCCAGCAAGCACGUCACUGCUCAAGACAGAACCCACAUCACCCUCGAUCCUUUCUUCUCCAUGCCUGUCACUCCGCUGCUGUCGUUGACCAAACCUUACUGGCUUCUCCCUCCUUAAGCCCACUCGUGCUUCUCUCCUCCCUGCUUUCUCUGCACACAUAUGGACUCAGGAGCUCGUCAGUUCAUCAGUUCUCAUCUGGGGGGUCCAGAUAUCCACCCUGACUCUUGGUCCCCUUCCUCAGAGCCAGCUCCAAAGAGGAAAGUCCUACUUUCCACUGUUCUGCUCCUGAUGCCUUCCAUGGCUCCCUGUGGCUGGACUGCAUGUCUGUAGAGUGCAUACGUUUUCUGACAGCGUGCAUUCUUUAGCAGACAUGGUCCAGUCCGGGCUCCCUUGGACACAGACUUCUGACUGUUCUGGUGAAUGGAGUGGUUACUUUUGAAUUGCACACACACUGGGGAAAUCCUGAUCCUGGGGAAACUCAGAAAGUGCCGAUAUAUGGGGAAGAAGGUUGAGAAGGUUCGCCACGUCAGUUUGAAGCUGCAGGUGGGAAGUUUAGACCGGACUGUCAGGUCACCAAGGGUUCUUAAGGACACAUGUAACCAGAGAUGACUGGAUUUCUAAGAGGUCAGUGUUGUCGCCUGUUUAAACUGUCUCUGCACCUAAUGGCCUUCCUGUGGAGCUAGGCUCUCAUAUGACAUUUCAGUGUUGAAAAGAGUUAGUCAUUUCCAUAUGACCAAGAUGUAAAAGAAAUGGCAAGGUCAGACGGUAACCUCCCACUGGAGGACGGUCCUCCGACGGACACAAAAUUCCUGCCAUUCUACGAGGAAAACAAGAAAGAGGUUCUUCAGAUGAAAUGCCACCCAGGCCCUCUCGCCAAAUGAUGAGUUUUGAAGAAUCGGGACCUGUGAAAUCUCUCUUGGUUGGUUUUCGGGAUCCAAAUGCUAAAGGAACCUGGGCAGGUGACAGGUGCAGCAGGGCUGUCUGUAGGACAGAAGAACUUGAAACUUCAGCACGCUGUGGCGCUGUUUGGAUGGAUAAAAUGUUGGAAGCCAGAGUGGCUUUACACGGGCUGUGAUUUCUGUUGACAGGAUGCAUCCGCUCGUUCUUUCAACCUAAGCAAAAUUCCCAGGACUGAGAUGGAUUUGAAAGUCAGGUGGACAGGGGGACCAUCUGUGGGUGAGAGAAUGCUUAGAGUCAUCAAAAGAAAUCAUGGAAAAGUAUAUGACUCCUGCAGACGCACAGCAGCAUCCGCAGUCCUACCCCUGGUGACCUCAAGCAGAGGUAGAAGAAAUAAAUCAAAGUGAUGAUGUUGAUUCAAUAAUUCUUAAUUUCAUUGCCCCAAAAUAAACAAAACAUUCUCAAAUCACUAAA